GAAGAGCCUCUGUUCCAGGGAACUCAGAGCAGGGACACUGUCUUAAUUAUCUUGAAAAAAGAAGAAACAGAGAGAAGUACAAAGAGAGUUUGAAGAGCCCUGUGGUCCCAAAGUGCUGCCUGCCCCUUCUUUUAGCAGCUUUCAAGGGUGUUUUCUUGAAUUGAUUGUAACCUGCUGCAGCUGCUGGAUACUCACCUUGUGCCACUUUGCAACUGGAUUUUGAAGAUGCCAAGGGCCAGGACACUCCUGUGAACCUCACUGACAGCUGGAUGGACCUGGCAGAGAGAACUCAUC
Molecule: long non-coding RNA, 294 nt
Organism: Ficedula albicollis (Collared flycatcher)
Lineage: Eukaryota; Metazoa; Chordata; Aves; Passeriformes; Muscicapidae
Exons: 3
Source: RefSeq, a predicted model, not a curated record